This 460-nucleotide ribosomal RNA is filed under the name uncultured bacterium. RNAcentral's name for it is "partial 16S ribosomal RNA". It matches the Rfam family "Bacterial small subunit ribosomal RNA", at positions 338 to 795 of the family's 1533-position model. The record is from RNAcentral.
CCUACGGGCGACAGCAGUGAGGAAUAUUGGUCAAUGGGCGCGAGCCUGAACCAGCCAAGUAGCGUGAAGGAUGACUGCCCUACGGGUUGUAAACUUCUUUUAUACAGGAAUAAAGUGAGUUACGUGUGCCUUUUUGCAUGUACUUUAUGAAUAAGGACCGGCUAAUUCCGUGCCAGCAGCCGCGGUAAUACGGAGGAUCCGAGCGUUAUCCGGAUUUAUUGGGUUUAAAGGGAGCGUAGAUGGGUUGUUAAGUCAGUUGUGAAAGUUUGCGGCUCAACCGGAGAAUUGCAGUGGAAACUGGCAUUCUUGAGUACGGGGGAGGUAGGCGGAAUUCGUGGUGUAGCGGUGAAAUGCUUAGAUAUCACGAAGAACUCCGAUUGCGAAGGCAGCUUACUAAACUGCAACUGACGCUGAUGCUCGAAAGUGUGGGUAUCAAACAGGAUUAGAUACCCGAGUAGUC